This is a long non-coding RNA of Lineus longissimus, 647 nucleotides long. RefSeq lists it as uncharacterized. The transcript has 3 exons. Lineage: Eukaryota; Metazoa; Nemertea; Pilidiophora; Heteronemertea; Lineidae. The record is from RefSeq and is a predicted model, not a curated record.
AAAAAAUGUCCGAUGCCAUUGAGAAUCGGGCCUGCUCUCCCGAUUUUUCUAUAUUAUGUCUUUAUUCCGAUAAAUUGAUAAAGCAAUCGACAAUACUCGGCACUAACGACCGGUGGAAGGGGAGGAAGAUACGACUGACUGAUUAUUCGAGGAUGUUGACCAUAUUGAGUUAACCGGCCCUGCUGUGAUAUCUGUGCCGCCAUGCCUCAAGGAUCUCUUACGUCAGUUUAUGAUAUUCAUAGAUGCUGGCGCCACUUGCCGGCGAUGGGAAAACCACAUUGAUAUCUGGAUAUAAGGAUAUUAGGAUACCUUUAACUUGUCAUCGAGCCAUCGAUACCAGAGAAAAUGAUAUGCCUCUCAACGAAAUCGUCCACGUCCCCUCAACGAAAUCGAAAUCGUCCACUUCCCUUGACAUCCGUUCGACACCAAGACUCCGCCAAUCCUCGAAGUCAUCUUAACGUAUUGAAUGUAAUUUUCAAUCAUGAAUAAACAAUACCAUAAUGAACUUUGGAACUAUAAGGAACAAUUGUUGGCCAUAGGUACUACUCGCACCAACUUAAAAUCAUAUGGCCAACGCUUUAAAACCGUAUGUAAAACUCUUCUGCUGUAUCAUAUUUUCCGAUCAUGAAUAAACACCUGUUUACUGA